This 434-nucleotide ribosomal RNA is filed under the name uncultured archaeon. Its description in RNAcentral is "bacterial SSU rRNA". It matches the Rfam family "Archaeal small subunit ribosomal RNA", at positions 19 to 458 of the family's 1478-position model. The record is from RNAcentral.
GGACCUGACUGCUAUCGGAUUGAUACUAAGCCAUGCGAGUCAUUGUAGCAAUACAAGGCAUACGGCUCAGUAACGCGUAGUCAACCUAACCUAUGGACGGGAAUAACCUCGGGAAACUGAGAAUAAUGCCCGAUAGAACAUUAUGCCUGGAAUGGUUUAUGUUCUAAAUGAUUUAUCGCCGUAGGAUGGGACUGCGGCCUAUCAGUUUGUUGGUGAGGUAAUGGCCCACCAAGACUAUUACAGGUACGGGCUCUGAGAGGAGUAGCCCGGAGAUGGGUACUGAGACACGGACCCAGGCCCUAUGGGGCGCAGCAGGCGAGAAAACUUUGCAAUGUGCGAAAGCACGACAAGGUUAAUCCGAGUGGUUUCUGCUAAAGAAACCUUUUGUCAGUCCUAGAAACACUGAUGAAUAAGGGGUGGGCAAGUUCUGGUGU